Molecule: unclassified non-coding RNA, 200 nt
Filed under: soil metagenome
Description: partial contains internal transcribed spacer 2 and large subunit ribosomal RNA
Source: RNAcentral
GCGUCAUUACAACCCUCAAGCCCAGCUUGGUAUUGGGCGUCCGUCCCCCGGGCGCGUCCGAAAGUCAGCGGCGGUUCCGUCCGGGCACUCAGCGCAGUAACUCAAAACUCCUCGCUCAGUGGCCCCGGGCCGACCGGCCGGACAAGCCCUAAUCUUCAAUGGUUGACCUCGGAUCAGGUAGGGAUACCCGCUGAACUUAA